UGAACGCUGGCGGCGUGCCUAAUACAUGCAAGUCGAGCGAACGGACGAGAAGCUUGCUUCUCUGAUGUUAGCGGCGGACGGGUGAGUAACACGUGGAUAACCUACCUAUAAGACUGGGAUAACUUCGGGAAACCGGAGCUAAUACCGGAUAAUAUUUUGAACCGCAUGGUUCAAAAGUGAAAGACGGUCUUGCUGUCACUUAUAGAUGGAUCCGCGCUGCAUUAGCUAGUUGGUAAGGUAACGGCUUACCAAGGCAACGAUGCAUAGCCGACCUGAGAGGGUGAUCGGCCACACUGGAACUGAGACACGGUCCAGACUCCUACGGGAGGCAGCAGUAGGGAAUCUUCCGCAAUGGGCGAAAGCCUGACGGAGCAACGCCGCGUGAGUGAUGAAGGUCUUCGGAUCGUAAAACUCUGUUAUUAGGGAAGAACAUAUGUGUAAGUAACUGUGCACAUCUUGACGGUACCUAAUCAGAAAGCCACGGCUAACUACGUGCCAGCAGCCGCGGUAAUACGUAGGUGGCAAGCGUUAUCCGGAAUUAUUGGGCGUAAAGCGCGCGUAGGCGGUUUUUUAAGUCUGAUGUGAAAGCCCACGGCUCAACCGUGGAGGGUCAUUGGAAACUGGAAAACUUGAGUGCAGAAGAGGAAAGUGGAAUUCCAUGUGUAGCGGUGAAAUGCGCAGAGAUAUGGAGGAACACCAGUGGCGAAGGCGACUUUCUGGUCUGUAACUGACGCUGAUGUGCGAAAGCGUGGGGAUCAAACAGGAUUAGAUACCCUGGUAGUCCACGCCGUAAACGAUGAGUGCUAAGUGUUAGGGGGUUUCCGCCCCUUAGUGCUGCAGCUAACGCAUUAAGCACUCCGCCUGGGGAGUACGACCGCAAGGUUGAAACUCAAAGGAAUUGACGGGGACCCGCACAAGCGGUGGAGCAUGUGGUUUAAUUCGAAGCAACGCGAAGAACCUUACCAAAUCUUGACAUCCUUUGACAACUCUAGAGAUAGAGCCUUCCCCUUCGGGGGACAAAGUGACAGGUGGUGCAUGGUUGUCGUCAGCUCGUGUCGUGAGAUGUUGGGUUAAGUCCCGCAACGAGCGCAACCCUUAAGCUUAGUUGCCAUCAUUAAGUUGGGCACUCUAAGUUGACUGCCGGUGACAAACCGGAGGAAGGUGGGGAUGACGUCAAAUCAUCAUGCCCCUUAUGAUUUGGGCUACACACGUGCUACAAUGGACAAUACAAAGGGCAGCGAAACCGCGAGGUCAAGCAAAUCCCAUAAAGUUGUUCUCAGUUCGGAUUGUAGUCUGCAACUCGACUACAUGAAGCUGGAAUCGCUAGUAAUCGUAGAUCAGCAUGCUACGGUGAAUACGUUCCCGGGUCUUGUACACACCGCCCGUCACACCACGAGAGUUUGUAACACCCGAAGCCGGUGGAGUAACCUUUUAGGAGCUAGCCGUCGAAGGUG
RNAcentral lists this ribosomal RNA (1454 nucleotides) under uncultured Staphylococcus sp. RNAcentral describes it as "partial 16S ribosomal RNA". It matches the Rfam family "Bacterial small subunit ribosomal RNA". The record is from RNAcentral. Lineage: Bacteria; Bacillati; Bacillota; Bacilli; Caryophanales; Staphylococcaceae.